This 309-nucleotide ribosomal RNA is filed under the name uncultured marine bacterium pC2-28. RNAcentral describes it as "bacterial SSU rRNA". It matches the Rfam family "Bacterial small subunit ribosomal RNA", at positions 1071 to 1382 of the family's 1533-position model. Lineage: Bacteria; Pseudomonadati; Pseudomonadota; Alphaproteobacteria; Candidatus Pelagibacterales. The record is from RNAcentral.
GAUGUUGGGUUAAGUCCCGCAACGAGCGCAACCCUCACUUUUAGUUGCCAUCAUUAAGUUGGGCACUCUGAAAGAACUGCCAGUGAUAAGCUGGAGGAAGGUGGGGAUGACGUCAAGUCCUCAUGGCCCUUACGUGUUGGGCUACACACGUGCUACAAUGGCAUCUACAACAUUAAGCAAAACGGCAACGUUAAGCAAAUCCCGAAAAGAUGCCUGAGUUCGGAUUGCACUCUGCAACUCGAGUGCAUGAAGCUGGAAUUACUAGUAAUCGUGGAUCAGCGUGCCACGGUGAAUGCGUUCCCGGGUCUU